CAGCCGCCGCGGUAAUACGAAGGGGGCUAGCGUUGUUCGGAUUUACUGGGCGUAAAGCGCGCGUAGGCGGAUCGAUCAGUCAGGGGUGAAAUCCCAGAGCUCAACUCUGGAACUGCCUUUGAUACUGUCGAUCUGGAGUAUGGAAGAGGUGAGUGGAAUUCCGAGUGUAGAGGUGAAAUUCGUAGAUAUUCGGAGGAACACCAGUGGCGAAGGCGGCUCACUGGUCCAUUACUGACGCUGAGGUGCGAAAGCGUGUGGAGCAAACAGGAUUAGAUACCCCCGUAGUCCCUGUCUCUUAUAA
Molecule: ribosomal RNA, 301 nt
Filed under: uncultured bacterium
Lineage: Bacteria
Description: partial 16S ribosomal RNA
Rfam family: Bacterial small subunit ribosomal RNA
Source: RNAcentral